Long non-coding RNA from Falco peregrinus (peregrine falcon), 383 nucleotides. RefSeq lists it as uncharacterized. Lineage: Eukaryota; Metazoa; Chordata; Aves; Falconiformes; Falconidae. The record is from RefSeq and is a predicted model, not a curated record. The transcript has 2 exons.
GUCCGCGGCGCGGGGCACGCCGGGACGCGGGAGGCUGGUUCCGCGGCCGGCCGGGAGCCCGAGACCCGUUACACCGCCGGGGCGAGCGGCGCGGCACGGCGGGGGCCGAGGCUCCGGGAGCCGCCGGCGCCGCCAGGGCUGCUGCAGAGGAUGAACUGGGAUUCAAAGUAGAUUACCUUCAUCCUUCCUUCUGGUGCUGCCAGGCAUAGAAAAAAAACAGGAAGCUUUGCAUCUGGAGUGAUACCUGUGCCUCACCUCAUUGUGGGCGUUGUGGCAGUAACACACCACAAACUGCCUUCUCACGGGACGUUCAUGUGAAAAAACAGCCGAAGAAAACCAUUACUUUUUUUAAUUAAUCAGUUACUGAACAUGGGACCUCUGAA